RNAcentral lists this transfer RNA (56 nucleotides) under Bos taurus (domestic cattle). It matches the Rfam family "tRNA", at positions 9 to 63 of the family's 71-position model. From Rfam's summary of the family: Transfer RNA (tRNA) molecules are approximately 80 nucleotides in length. The record is from Rfam by way of RNAcentral. RNAcentral also lists the same sequence under 2 other names. Lineage: Eukaryota; Metazoa; Chordata; Mammalia; Artiodactyla; Bovidae.
GGCUCAAACGGUAAAGCGUCUGCCUACAAUGCAGGAGACCCAGGUUCAAUCCCUGG